CGGCCGCGUCGACGUGAAUUGCGUAGAGAUCUGGAGGAACACCGGUGGCGAAAGCGGCUCUCUGGUCUGUAACUGACGCUGAGGCUCGAAAGCGUGGGGAGCAAACAGGAUUAGAUACCCUGGUAGUCCACGCCGUAAACUAUGAGUGCUAGGUGUUGGGUCCUUUCCGGGACUCAGUGCCGCAGCUAACGCAUUAAGCACUCCGCCUGGGGAGUACGACCGCAAGGUUGAAACUCAAAGGAAUUGACGGGGGCCCGCACAAGCGGUGGAGCAUGUG
RNAcentral lists this ribosomal RNA (277 nucleotides) under uncultured Streptococcus sp. RNAcentral's name for it is "partial 16S ribosomal RNA". It matches the Rfam family "Bacterial small subunit ribosomal RNA", at positions 666 to 943 of the family's 1533-position model. Lineage: Bacteria; Bacillati; Bacillota; Bacilli; Lactobacillales; Streptococcaceae. The record is from RNAcentral.